UCUCAUUCACUCUCACACACAUCUUUACACACGCCCGAGCCACAACAACAGCUGGAAGCCCUAGAGUUUCAGAUCUGAAAACAAAAACUCCCAAAUAUCAAAAUAAAAACUCCCAAAGAAGAGGAUUUCGAAGAGCUGAUUGACCUCUACUGGUUGCUAUACAAUUUCUGGGAUUUUCUGAAUUGAUCAAGUUUUAAAAAUCAUUUUUGUUUUCUGUUGCUGUUCUGGGUUUUCUGUAGCUGAGCUCCACUUCAUAGCUGUUGUUUUUCCUGCCUUUAUUUGGCUUUUUGUAAGACUUUGCACUGCUGCAAGGUAUUUAUUCCAGCCUCAAAUGAUGUAAUUGUUGUUUAGAUGUCAUUGUGCUAUGAAAUAUGCCAAUUGUGUUUCUGUUGAAUGCUCUUACAUAUUGAUUGCAAUUUUAAGUUGGUAUUGAAAUAUUUGAUGUAACUCUUGUCUAAAACAUGUUGUAGAUUCAAAUAACAAUAAGAUAUGUUUAAAAAUUGAGUUGGUUUUGUGGUUUGACGUUUUGCUUUUACCUGCUGGUCUGUUUGUUUGGUAAUAGCAAUUUGUGAUGUUAAUUUUGCCAUACCUAAAACUGAAAUUGUUUGUUACUUGUGCUAGAACCUGUUUUCAAUUGAUUCAUUUAAGUAAAUGUUUAAUCAUGUGUUGAGUGUUGUUUCAGAUUUAAUUAGCCAUGAAUUUGACUAUAAAUCUCCAGGUUAAUCAGGCAAUUCUGAGUUCAUUUCAGCAGGCAGGGUUGAAUAGAAAUGAGGAUUUGGGAAUAGUCUUAGUCCUAAAAGUUGUUAGAGAUCACAAAUAGUUAUCUUAAUGUAAUAAUGUUGCAUCAAAUUAGAUUUACAUCUUUCGUGUGCUAUUGCUAAGCAGCUUAUGAUGUAAGGAUUAAUUGCAUGUUUGAUCUUGAAGAUGGUAGCCCCCGUUAUUAAU
Molecule: long non-coding RNA, 945 nt
Filed under: Nicotiana tabacum (common tobacco)
Lineage: Eukaryota; Viridiplantae; Streptophyta; Magnoliopsida; Solanales; Solanaceae
Description: long non-coding RNA (NTAB_LNC001503)
Source: RNAcentral